RNAcentral lists this ribosomal RNA (270 nucleotides) under uncultured bacterium. Its description in RNAcentral is "partial 16S ribosomal RNA". It matches the Rfam family "Bacterial small subunit ribosomal RNA", at positions 793 to 1055 of the family's 1533-position model. The record is from RNAcentral.
GUCCACGCUGUAAACGAUUAUCACUAGGUGUUGGGAGUAUUGACCCUCUCAGCGCCGCAGCUAACGCAUUAAGUUAUCCGCCUGGGGAGUACGGUCGCAAGACUAAAAACUCAAAGGAAUUGACGGGGGCCCGCACAAGCGGUGGAGUAUGUGGUUCAAUUCGACGCAACGCGAAGAACCUUACCUGGGUUAGAAAUCAACUAGAAGUUCUGCAGAGAUGUGGGACGUCCCCGCAAGGGGACUGGUUGACAGGUGCUGCAUGGCUGUCGU